This 418-nucleotide ribosomal RNA is filed under the name uncultured bacterium. Its description in RNAcentral is "bacterial SSU rRNA". It matches the Rfam family "Bacterial small subunit ribosomal RNA", at positions 355 to 787 of the family's 1533-position model. The record is from RNAcentral.
UGGGGAAUAUUGGGCAAUGGGCGCAAGCCUGACCCAGCAACGCCGCGUGAAGGAUGAAGGUUUUCGGAUUGUAAACUUCUUUUAAGAGGGACGAUAAUGACGGUACCUCUUGAAUAAGCCCCGGCUAACUACGUGCCAGCAGCCGCGGUAAUACGUAGGGGGCAAGCGUUAUCCGGAUUUACUGGGUGUAAAGGGCGUGUAGGCGGGAUUUCAAGUCAGAUGUGAAAAACCGAAGGCUCAACCUUCGGCCUGCAUUUGAAACUGAAGUUCUUGAGUGCUGGAGAGGCUAACGGAAUUCCUAGUGUAGCGGUGAAAUGCGUAGAUAUUAGGAAGAACACCAGUGGCGAAGGCGGUUAGCUGGACAGUAACUGACGCUGAGGCGCGAAAGCGUGGGGAGCGAAACAAGGAUUAGAUACCC